Molecule: ribosomal RNA, 496 nt
Filed under: uncultured bacterium
Lineage: Bacteria
Description: partial 16S ribosomal RNA
Rfam family: Bacterial small subunit ribosomal RNA
Source: RNAcentral
GAUGAACGCUGGCGGCGUGCCUAAUACAUGCAAGUCGAGCGAACAGACGAGGAGCUUGCUCCUCUGACGUUAGCGGAGGACGGGUGAGUAACACGUGGAUAACCUACCUAUAAGACUGGGAUAACUUCGGGAAACCGGAGCUAAUACCGGAUAAUAUAUUGAACCGCAUGGUUCAAUAGUGAAAGACGGUUUUGCUGUCACUUAUAGAUGGAUCCGCGCCGCAUUAGCUAGUUGGUAAGGUAACGGCUUACCAAGGCAACGAUGCGUAGCCGACCUGAGAGGGGGUUCGGCCACACUGGAACUGAGACACGGUCCAGACACCUACGGGAGGCAGCAGUAGGGAAGCUUCCGCAAAGGGCGAAAGCUUGACGGAGCAACGCCGCGUGAGUGAUGAAGGUCUGCGGAUCGUAAAACGCUGUUAUUAGGGAAGAACAAAUGUGUAAGUAACGAUGCACGUCUUGACGGUACCUAAACAGAAAGCCACGGCUAACUACGU